RNAcentral lists this ribosomal RNA (253 nucleotides) under uncultured bacterium. RNAcentral describes it as "partial 16S ribosomal RNA". It matches the Rfam family "Bacterial small subunit ribosomal RNA", at positions 524 to 776 of the family's 1533-position model. The record is from RNAcentral.
UACGUAGGGAGCGAGCGUUGUCCGGAAUCAUUGGGCGUAAAGAGCGCGUAGGUGGAUCAAUUAGUCUGCUGUGAAAGUCCAAGGCUCAACCUUUGAAAGCCGGUGGAUACUGUUGAUCUAGAGUACGGAAGAGGCGAGUGGAAUUCCUGGUGUAGCGGUGGAAUGCGCAGAUAUCAGGAGGAACACCAAUAGCGAAGGCAGCUCGCUGGGACGUUACUGACACUGAGGCGCGAAAGCGUGGGGAGCAAACAGG